This 329-nucleotide ribosomal RNA is filed under the name uncultured bacterium. Its description in RNAcentral is "bacterial SSU rRNA". It matches the Rfam family "Bacterial small subunit ribosomal RNA", at positions 8 to 334 of the family's 1533-position model. The record is from RNAcentral.
AGGGUUUGAUCAUGGCUCAGGAUGAACGCUGGCGGCGUGCUUAACACAUGCAAGUCGAACGGGAUCCAUCAGGCUUUGCUUGGUGGUGAGAGUGGCGAACGGGUGAGUAAUGCGUGACCGACCUGCCCCAUACACCGGAAUAGCUCCUGGAAACGGGUGGUAAUGCCGGAUGCUCCGACUCCUCGCAUGGGGUGUCGGGAAAGAUUUCAUCGGUAUGGGAUGGGGUCGCGUCCUAUCAGGUAGUCGGCGGGGUAACGGCCCACCGAGCCUACGACGGGUAGCCGGCCUGAGAGGGCGACCGGCCACAUUGGGACUGAGAUACGGCCCAG